GUGGGUGAUCUGCCUGCACUUCGGGAUAAGCUUGGGAAACUGGGUCUAAUACCGGAUAGGAGCCAUCUUUAGUGUGGUGGUUGGAAAGUUUUUUCGGUGUAGGAUGAGCUCGCGGCCUAUCAGCUUGUUGGUGGGGUAAUGGCCUACCAAGGCGGCGACGGGUAGCCGGCCUGAGAGGGUGUGCGGCCACAUUGGGACUGAGAUACGGCCCAG
Molecule: ribosomal RNA, 213 nt
Filed under: uncultured Actinomycetales bacterium
Lineage: Bacteria; Bacillati; Actinomycetota; Actinomycetes; Actinomycetales
Description: partial 16S ribosomal RNA
Rfam family: Bacterial small subunit ribosomal RNA
Source: RNAcentral